Molecule: long non-coding RNA, 220 nt
Organism: Alligator mississippiensis (American alligator)
Lineage: Eukaryota; Metazoa; Chordata; Crocodylia; Alligatoridae
Exons: 3
Source: RefSeq, a predicted model, not a curated record
CAGAGAGCUUAUCAGGUGGGGAAGCCCCAGGCCAUUUUACCACAAUAAGAACCUCUUCUUCUAAAAUAGAAAAGCAGAACAAGCACAUACAGUCAUGUUUUUACCCAGUAGUAAAAGUGAUCACACGCACCACACCCAAAGAAGAGCAGGGACCUGGGCAGAGACCUCUAAAAGCACAGCCUGCAGAUCAUAACACCCAAAGAUCAGAAGACGGAUGGGA